Molecule: ribosomal RNA, 468 nt
Filed under: uncultured bacterium
Lineage: Bacteria
Description: partial 16S ribosomal RNA
Rfam family: Bacterial small subunit ribosomal RNA
Source: RNAcentral
GACGAACGCUGGCGGCGUGCUUAACACAUGCAAGUCGAACGGAAAGGCCCUGCUUUUGUGGGGUGCUCGAGUGGCGAACGGGUGAGUAACACGUGAGUAACCUGCCCUUGACUUUGGGAUAACUUCAGGAAACUGGGGCUAAUACCGGAUAGGAGCUCCUGCUGCAUGGUGGGGGUUGGAAAGUUUCGGCGGUUGGGGAUGGACUCGCGGCUGAUCAGCUUGUUGGUGGGGUAGUGGAUUACCAAGGCUUUGACGGGUAGCCGGCCUGAGAGGGUGACCGGCCACAUUGGGACUGAGAUACGGCCCAGACUCCUACGGGAGGCAGCAGUGGGGAAUCUUGCACAAUGGGAGGAAGCCUGAUGCAGCAACGCCGCGUGCGGGAUGACGGCCUUCGGGUUGUAAACCGCUUUCGCCUGUGACGAAGCGUGAGUGACGGUAAUGGGUAAAGAAGCACCGGCUAACUACGUG